CCCGAAAAGAUGAAUCCGAGGGUGGAGAGCCCUCAGUCAGAUCACGAUUCUACUCCCGGAAGAUCUCUACCUUCAUUCUGCCAGAAAACCCUCGAGACUCAUAGUCGAGAGGAUUUCUUAGAUCGAAGGCUCUAGGAGAUGAACCGUCGGAUUGAAGAACUCCGCCACGCUCCCCCCGCUUAUGGUGAGGACAUUUGUACUGACCCUCCCU
Molecule: long non-coding RNA, 211 nt
Filed under: Elaeis guineensis (African oil palm)
Lineage: Eukaryota; Viridiplantae; Streptophyta; Magnoliopsida; Arecales; Arecaceae
Description: long non-coding RNA (EGUI_LNC082658)
Source: RNAcentral